Molecule: small nucleolar RNA, 131 nt
Organism: Prolemur simus (greater bamboo lemur)
Lineage: Eukaryota; Metazoa; Chordata; Mammalia; Primates; Lemuridae
Source: Ensembl
AUUUCCCAGAGCAAGCAGAUGCAAUACGUAGCAAUUAAAAGUGAUACUGCUCUGAGGAUAGACAAGAAAGCACAUGUCCCUCCCCAGUUAGACUCUGCUUUCUUUUGGGGCCUACAAGUUGAGCUGACAGU